This is a long non-coding RNA of Glycine soja, 1439 nucleotides long. RefSeq lists it as uncharacterized. The record is from RefSeq and is a predicted model, not a curated record. Lineage: Eukaryota; Viridiplantae; Streptophyta; Magnoliopsida; Fabales; Fabaceae. The transcript is spliced from 2 exons.
AAAAGGUGUUGAUGAAUGACACUUGACAAGGUACCUAUACUUAUAGUGUCACCUUUCACCAUUUUUUUAGAUUUAAAAAGUGGUGAGAUUUUUUUAAAGUUAAUGAUAAUAUUUUUAUAGUGAUUUAGUUGGGGUUGUUACAUGCACUUGGUACUUCCGUUGCAAACUUUGACACUCCUUAAUGUCAUGUUUGGAUUUUCAAUAACUAUUCAUGUUUUUUGUUGAGAGGGUUAAAAUAAAAAUUUAGACCGCCUAAUGGUUAAGAAGCCUUAUGCCUAGGCCGGCCUUGUCUCCCUCAAUUAUGUGAUAACUUUAUUAUUAUUAUAAGAGAGCCAUUUAAUUAGUCGUAUUGUUCCCAAAAUUACAUUUGCUAUCACAGAUUUUUUGUUGUGUACUGCUGGGCCGCCACACUUUUGGAUAGUUGUUUUCAUCUUUGAGCCUUUCUUGGCCAAUCUUAAUGAAUUCUGUUAAAAAAUAUGCUUUUAAGGAUUUUUCAUACAGAAAUUAUCAAAAAUAAAAGAACAGGACAAAAAAGAGAAAAAAUGUUUCAUCAAGAACAUACGUAGGAAUUUUUCUACUUUGUAAUUAUGCAAUAAUUUCUUUUAAGAAAAUAAUUAUGUAGUAACUUAUUUAUUUAAUCAUUAUUGUCUUUUGUCAAUUAUUACUAUUAUCAUUUUUUUUAUUGAGUUUCACUUUUGAUUAGUCCAACUGUCCAAGACGAUGGUGGCUGAUGCAUAAUUGGUGGGUCAAAUGGUCAAUCCUCAAACUUACGUCAUACAAACGGUGACACAAAUGUGGUUUGAUUGUUAUUCCUGGCUGCAACUCACGACAGUGCUACCAGAAAAUCCACAAGCUCAUUUCUAGCAACAUAGUCUUAUUGGGGGAUCAAAGCAAACAACACAAGCUAGGUGCAUGUAUUUUUAGAGGAGGUAGUCUUGACAGAAACAAAACCGUGGAGGAGAUUUUGUUAAUGCUAGGUUGAUGGGGAGAUUUUUUGUAAAACACAUGCUAUACUAUUGAUGUGUUGGGUACAUAGAUAGGUGGGAAUUAACUGGUACGGGAAUAUAUAUAGUUUAGUGUUUUAUUUUGCGAUAGCAGAUUCUGUUGUAGAGGCAUACAUGUUUUUAUGCAGCAACAAACUUGUAAGGGAUGGUACCCCUUAUAUCCUGUACGCAUUCUCCUCUUUAACUAUAUAAUAUACAAAAAUACUAAACAGUACCUAUCUAUAAAUUCAAAUCCUUGACCUGAUAGUGAUCAAUUUAACACAAAGCACACAUUAGUUAGAUGGCUGAUAGUGAUCAAUUUUAUUAGCACCGAGUUUCCAGUAUUAAUUACCAAAUUCUUGUUAUUGACAAUAAAAACUGCAUUACAGGAUACGACGAUGACAAGUGGUGACAACAAUUGUAUCGAAGAUAUAUGAAGUAUUACUUUAUUCUCUC